This 362-nucleotide long non-coding RNA is filed under the name Elaeis guineensis (African oil palm). RNAcentral describes it as "long non-coding RNA (EGUI_LNC017835)". The record is from RNAcentral. Lineage: Eukaryota; Viridiplantae; Streptophyta; Magnoliopsida; Arecales; Arecaceae.
UUGGCUUCAUUAUCUUUACGGUCAGAUCAGGCAGGGAUGAUAUUUUUUUAUCGAGCCUAGUUGUAGUAGUUCAUGAACAGAUAGCUCGUCUGCAGAUGUAGCCGUCUUAGCCAGAAAAUUUCUACAAUAAUUGUCGAGACAGAAGGAUGGCAUGGCUUCAAAUAUCAUCGCGCAUAAAUCAAAAAAGAUGCACCAUAUAACAUCUAUUAUUACCGCACAACCAUGGAAACACAAAUAAGGCAGGUCAGUGGAUCAGGCAUUUCGACAUAUGCCCACUCAAGUUGAAACAAUAAUCAUUUAUGAAAGAUUAUCGCUGUGACACCAUCUGGUCAUUCGAAUUCGAAUUUUAUGGAACAAUGNNN